RNAcentral lists this ribosomal RNA (254 nucleotides) under uncultured bacterium. Its description in RNAcentral is "partial 16S ribosomal RNA". It matches the Rfam family "Bacterial small subunit ribosomal RNA", at positions 524 to 776 of the family's 1533-position model. The record is from RNAcentral.
UACGGGGGGGGUAAGCGUUGUUCGGAUUUACUGGGCGUAAAGGGCGCGUAGGCGGCCACCGCAAGUCAGUUGUGAAAUCUCUGGGCUUAACCCGGAAAGGUCAGCCGAUACUGCGGGGCUAGAGUGCAGAAGGGGCAACUGGAAUUCUCGGUGUAGCGGUGAAAUGCGUAGAUAUCGAGAGGAACACCUGCGGCGAAGGCGGGUUGCUGGGCUGACACUGACGCUGAGGCGCGAAAGCUAGGGGAGCGAACGGG